GUUCUAUCCAGAAAGCAGUGUUCCUUAGAAAGAACCUCAGAGUCCAGAGAGAACCCGGACAAUACAACACAGCAGGAUGUCGACCCACAAUAUGACAACCCUUCAACUGUGAUGAAGAGAGCACCAGCAGAGCAGCAGGACGACCUUAACUACAGCAGUGUUUGUUUCUUUAAGAAGCAGGAAGAUCCCCUCUACUCCAACAUUAUGCUAGCUCGGCCCAACAAACCAAAGGAGGAAGAGGAGGAGGAAGAUGUGGAGUACACUGCUGUCAACUUUAACAAUGGCAGUCCAGGACGGAGUCGUCAGGAAGCUGUGGAGAACCCGUCAGCAGUGUACAGCACAGUCAACAAAAACCACAGACUAUGAACACAAAUCUAUGUCCCUCUUCCAACCCUACAUGUCUGACGUUUCCAUGACAACGUUACAGGAACACAUCCAAGAGGUUAAACAAGCUGUUUGUUUGGGCAACAUACAAUAAUACUUGUAUGUGUUCAUCCUUUCAGGAACUCAUGACAUCACUUAUCUUGCAGCAGGCACCAGUUUUAUAAUAUACACUUUCUGUCCAAAAACAACCCAUCACCACCUGGAUUUAACUAAACAAAUAUGUAAGAGCCUUCCACUGGAUAAUUACUGCAGUGAUGAAGAUGUUUCAGCUGCAACAACUUAUUUAACCCUAGCUGAUGCAGUGAGGAGCUUCUCAUUUCUUAACCUUCCUGUCGUCCUUCGGGUCAAAUUGACCCGUUUUAAAGGUUUAAAAAUGUGGGGGAAAAAACAUAUAUA
This is a long non-coding RNA of Acanthochromis polyacanthus (spiny chromis), 780 nucleotides long. RefSeq lists it as uncharacterized. The record is from RefSeq and is a predicted model, not a curated record. The transcript is spliced from 3 exons. NCBI's taxonomy places the organism in Eukaryota, Metazoa, Chordata, Actinopteri, Pomacentridae.